This 253-nucleotide ribosomal RNA is filed under the name uncultured bacterium. RNAcentral describes it as "partial 16S ribosomal RNA". It matches the Rfam family "Bacterial small subunit ribosomal RNA", at positions 524 to 776 of the family's 1533-position model. The record is from RNAcentral.
UACGAAGGGGGCUAGCGUUGCUCGGAAUCACUGGGCGUAAAGCGCACGUAGGCGGAUCUUUAAGUCAGAGGUGAGAUCCCAAGGCUCAACCUUGGAACUGCCUUUGAUACUGGGGAUCUCGAGUCCGGAAGAGGUGAGUGGAACUGCGAGUGUAGAGGUGAAAUUCGUAGAUAUUCGCAAGAACACCAGUGGCGAAGGCGGCUCACUGGUCCGGUACUGACGCUGAGGUGCGAAAGCGUGGGGAGCAAACAGG